CGACAGGGCUCCAUUGUGCUCGCGAGCGAGGCAUGCCGGGAUAUGUAGUUUCCUCCCACUCAAUCUCACGGAUUGUCCUGUCUACUUUGCAGAAUUACUGGUUCUACCCGGGUGAAGCGGCGGCACUUAGGAUACAAUCCAGGAUUUUGCAUUGCAUGUACUUGUCCUGACUUCUUCCUCAGCUUUGUCAUGAAUGACCCUGGGAUUUUUUGAAGACUGCUGUGUGUUUCAGCUCCAAGGAGACUGCCAUGGCAGCGGGCUGAUUUGGUAUGGAGGCAACAGCUGGUUUCCUUGCACGUUACUAAGCUUUUAUUUCUGCUUUGUAGGAAGCUAACCUCAGGAUGGCCAGCUCAGCUCGGGAGCACCUGCUUUUUGUGCGGCGUCGAAAUCCCCAGAUGCGGUACACAUUGAGCCCAGAGAACCUUCAGAGCCUCGCCGCCCAGAGCUCCAUGCCAGAGAACAUGACCCUACAGAGGGCAAACAGCGACACAGACCUGGUGACCUCUGAGAGCCGCUCCAGCUUGACUGCCAGCAUGUACGAGUACACGCUGGGGCAAGCCCAAAACCUCAUUAUCUUCUGGGACAUUAAAGAGGAGGUGGACCCCAGUGAUUGGAUUGGACUUUAUCACAUAGAUGAGAAUUCUCCAGCCAACUUCUGGGAUUCUAAAAACAGGGGUGUGACUGGAACCCAAAAAGGGCAAAUCGUAUGGAGAAUUGAGCCUGGGCCCUAUUUCAUGGAACCUGAGAUAAAAAUCUGUUUCAAAUACUACCACGGCAUUAGCGGAGCCCUGCGAGCCACGACCCCCUGCAUCACCGUGAAGAAUCCUGCUGUGAUGAUGGGGGCAGAAGGCAUGGAAGGAGGUGCUUCCGGAAAUCAGCAUUCUCGGAAACUCGUCAGCUUCACGUUGUCAGAUCUUAGAGCAGUUGGGCUAAAGAAAGGGAUGUUCUUCAAUCCUGAUCCUUAUCUUAAGAUGUCCAUUCAGCCAGGGAAGAAGAGCAGUUUCCCCACCUGUGCCCACCAUGGGCAGGAGAGAAGGUCUACUAUCAUCAGUAACACCACUAAUCCAAUUUGGCACCGAGAGAAAUAUUCCUUUUUUGCGCUUCUUACUGAUGUCUUGGAAAUUGAAAUUAAAGACAAAUUUGCCAAGAGCCGUCCUAUCAUCAAGCGUUUUCUGGGGAAACUAACCAUUCCAGUCCAGAGGUUGCUGGAGCGGCAAGCCAUUGGGGAUCAGAUGCUCAGCUACAACCUUGGCCGAAGGCUUCCAGCUGACCACGUGAGUGGGUACCUCCAGUUUAAAGUGGAGGUUACAUCUUCUGUGCAUGAAGAUGCUUCUCCAGAAGCUGUUGGCACAAUACUUGGAGUCAAUACUGUGAAUGGAGACCUAGGAAGUCCUUCUGACGAGGAGGACAUGCCGGGGGGCCAUCAUGACAGCACGCUUUGCUCUAAUGGGCCAGUUUCUGAGGACAGUGCUGCUGAUGGGACCCCCAAGCAUUCUUUCAGGACUAGCUCUACUCUGGAAAUAGACUCAGAGGAAUUAACCUCUACUUCUUCAAGGACCUCACCUCCCCGAGGACGUCAGGAUUCGCUCAAUGAUUACUUAGAUGCUAUUGAACACAAUGGCCAUUCCAGGCCAGGCACGACUACCUGCUCGGAGAGGUCCAUGGGAGCCUCUCCAAAACUAAGGAGUAGUUUUCCCACCGACACGAGGCUCAACGCAAUGCUUCAUAUCGACUCAGAUGAAGAAGACCAUGAGUUCCAGCAAGACCUGGGAUAUCCGUCUUCCUUGGAGGAGGAAGGAGGGCUAAUAAUGUUCAGCAGAGCGUCAAGAGCUGAUGACGUGAGCCUGACAUCGCAGACCAAGCCAGAAGACAACCCAGUGGAGAUUGAGGAAGCCUCCACAAAUGAGGCUGCUUCCUUUGAGGAUAAGCCAGAACAUCUUCCCGAGCUUGCAGAGGGCUCCUUACCCUCGGGCCCAGUCCCAGAUGAGAGUGAAAGCGGCCCAGAGUCUCAACCAAGCGCUGAGCAGGGCAGCACCGAAUUGUGUGGCUCUCAAGAGGUGGAUCAGCCCACGAGCGGGGCAGACACGGGGACUUCUGACACAUCGGGAGGAAGCCGCAGGGCCAUCAGUGAGACCGAGUCCCUGGAUCAGGGGUCUGAGCCUUCCCAGGUAUCCUCUGAAACAGAGCCCAGUGACCCUGCCAGGACAGAGAGCGUGAGCGAGGCCAGCACCAGGCCGGAAGGCGAGAGCGACCUGGAGGGCGCCGACAGCUCCUGCAAUGAGAGCGUUACCACGCAGCUGUCCUCGGUGGACACGCGGUGCUCGUCUCUUGAGAGCGCACGGUUUCCCGAAACCCCAGCCUUUUCUUCUCAGGAGGAGGAAGAUGGAGCCUGUGCAGCAGAGCCCAGCAGCAGUGGCCUCGCUGAAGGCUCACAGGAUUCCAUACGUACUCCCAGUUCUUUACCUGUGGUGCAGGUGCCCGCUGGAGAGGAGGAAGGGGCAGGGGCAGACUCGGCCCCUUUACCUAACCAGGAGGAGGUCGGGGAGGUCUGGCAGCGGAGGGGGAGCUUGGAAGGAGCUGCUGCUGCUGAGAGCCAGCCCCAGGAAGAAGGGGAUGCCAGGGAUGCCCACGGGGCUUGUGAAGGGGCCACUGCCCAGGAGGAGGGCGCCACCGGAGGUUCUCAAGCCAAUGGCCACCAGCCAUUGAGAUCACUGCCUUCAGUACGCCAGGAUGUUAGCCGAUACCAGAGGGUGGACGAGGCUCUUCCCCCAAAUUGGGAAGCACGCAUUGACAGCCACGGCAGGAUCUUCUACGUGGAUCACGUAAACAGAACCACCACGUGGCAGCGACCAACAGCUCCUCCCGCCCCUCAGGUGCUGCAAAGAUCAAACUCCAUACAGCAAAUGGAGCAGCUGAACCGGCGAUACCAGAGUAUUCGCAGAACCAUGACUAACGAGAGGCCUGAGGAAAAUACCAAUGCUAUUGAUGGGGCAGGAGAAGAAGCUGACUUUCACCCAGCCAGUGCAGAUUUCCGACGAGAGAACGUCCUGCCCCACUCUACCUCCAGAUCCAGGCUCACGUUGCUGUUACAGUCCCCCCCUGUGAAGUUCCUCAUCAGCCCAGAGUUCUUCACCGUGCUGCAUUCUAACCCUAGUGCCUACCGCAUGUUUACAAACAAUACGUGUUUGAAGCACAUGAUCACCAAAGUCCGGCGGGACACCCACCACUUUGAACGCUACCAGCAUAACCGAGAUCUUGUGGGAUUCCUCAAUAUGUUCGCCAACAAACAGCUGGAGCUGCCAAGGGGCUGGGAAAUGAAACACGAUCAUCAGGGCAAGGCAUUUUUUGUCGACCACAACUCCCGCACCACCACUUUCAUCGACCCCCGGCUCCCGCUGCAGAGCAGUAGACCCACGAGCGCGCUGGUUCAUCGGCAGCACCUGACCAGGCAACGCAGCCACAGUGCAGGCGAGGUAGGAGAAGAUUCUCGACACACAGGACCACCAGUGCUUCCCAGGCCAUCGAGUACAUUCAACACAGUCAGUAGGCCACAGUACCAGGACAUGGUUCCAGUGGCUUACAAUGACAAGAUUGUUGCAUUUCUGCGCCAACCCAACAUCUUUGAAAUUCUACAGGAGCGCCAACCUGAUCUUACCAGGAAUCAUUCACUCAGGGAGAAGAUCCAAUUUAUCCGAACUGAAGGGACCCCAGGAUUGGUGCGUCUUUCAAGUGAUGCAGACCUUGUCAUGUUGCUGAGUUUAUUUGAAGAAGAGAUAAUGUCUUAUGUGCCUCCACAUGCCUUACUUCACCCCAGCUACUGUCAGUCCCCACGUGGCUCCCCCGUGUCCUCUCCCCAGAACUCGCCAGGUACUCAGCGUGCCAAUGCCCGGGCUCCUGCCCCUUACAAGCGAGACUUUGAAGCCAAACUAAGGAACUUUUACAGGAAGUUAGAGACUAAAGGAUAUGGACAAGGCCCAGGGAAAUUAAAGUUAAUUAUCAGAAGAGAUCACUUACUGGAAGAUGCUUUUAAUCAAAUUAUGGGCUACUCCAGAAAAGACUUACAGAGAAAUAAGCUGUACGUCACAUUUGUCGGGGAGGAAGGGCUGGAUUACAGUGGACCUUCCAGAGAGUUUUUCUUCCUCGUAUCCAGAGAACUCUUUAACCCAUAUUAUGGCUUAUUUGAAUAUUCAGCCAACGACACAUACACAGUACAAAUAAGUCCCAUGUCUGCUUUUGUAGACAAUCACCAUGAAUGGUUCCGAUUCAGUGGUAGGAUUCUUGGUCUUGCGCUAAUACACCAGUAUUUGUUGGAUGCUUUCUUCACACGGCCCUUUUAUAAAGCUCUUCUCAGAAUUCUGUGUGACCUGAGUGAUCUAGAAUACCUUGAUGAAGAAUUCCACCAGAGCCUGCAGUGGAUGAAAGACAAUGAUAUCCAUGACAUCCUGGACCUGACAUUCACUGUGAAUGAAGAAGUUUUUGGGCAGAUUACCGAACGAGAAUUAAAACCAGGGGGUGCCAAUAUCCCGGUCACAGAGAAGAACAAGAAGGAGUACAUCGAGAGGAUGGUGAAAUGGCGGAUUGAGAGGGGUGUUGUUCAGCAAACAGAGAGUUUAGUGCGUGGCUUCUAUGAGGUGGUGGAUGCCAGGCUGGUGUCUGUUUUUGAUGCAAGAGAACUGGAACUCGUCAUCGCGGGCACAGCUGAAAUCGACCUGAGUGACUGGAGAAACAACACAGAAUACAGAGGAGGAUAUCAUGACAAUCAUAUUGUAAUUCGGUGGUUCUGGGCUGCAGUGGAAAGAUUCAACAAUGAACAGCGACUCAGGUUGUUACAGUUUGUCACGGGCACAUCCAGCAUUCCCUAUGAAGGAUUUGCUUCUCUCCGAGGGAGUAAUGGCCCAAGAAGAUUCUGUGUGGAGAAAUGGGGGAAAAUCACUGCUCUUCCCAGGAAAGAAGAGAGAGUAAGCAUGUGACCUGGUUAACGUUUGAAGAAUACAGAAAGCACCAAGAGAUUAAGUCAUACCAGAUGUCUGGAGGGCUUUAAGUCUUCUUUAUAUUGAUGGCUGCACGAUUUCCCAAAGAUGGGUUCAGACCUGCCCUCCUUGAGUGGUUCUGGCUGCAUAGAUUAAAAUGAGAGCUCACACUUGUUUCAACCGUCUGGAUCUCCCCCCGUACCCAUCAUUCUCCAUGCUUUAUGAAAAACUCUUGACAGCAGUUGAAGAAACGAGUACCUUUGGACUUGAGUGACCUGGAAGAACGAUGCCAGGCUCUGUAUGGACAGGCAAUUUCAGAAGCUGCUGUCUAGAAGAAUGACUGAAUGUUGGAAGUUUCAAGAGUAUGCUUCCACUAGAGUCAAGCUGAGUGCUUUAUUUUCCAGGAACACAUGCUCUGUCACAAUGGGGUCCGGAUAGUGGUGAUGAGUCCUCUUGGAAGGAUUUGGGUGAGCUUGAUGCCCAGGGAACUACCCAACAGUCUUUCAAUCAACAGUUGUUGACUGCCAAACUUUUUUCCAUUUGUGUUAUGUUCCAAGACAAAGAUGAACCUGUACACGAUCAGCUCCAUGGUAACUUUCAGGGACUCGGGAGAAUCUUGAAACUUACCUUUGAACGCGGUUCAAGCCCAACUGGCAGCACUUGGCCCAAUCUCCAAAUUAGCUCAAGUUAAAUAAUAUAAUAAAAACAAAUAUAUUUCCUAAAAGUACAUUCAUUUAAGCCCUACGUUGUAGCAGAAUAUUCAUUUUCUUGCUAUGAGUGCCUGCAUGGUGUGCACCAUAGGUUUCAGCUUUCAUGGGACACAAGUGAAAAUGAAACCAAGUCAACAUGAGGUAACUUUAAAGAUUUGCAAUAAGGUGGUCUGUGACAAUGUAUAUGCAAAGUGGUAUGUGUGUAAUUAUGGCUGAAGACAAACUGUUCUACAAUGAAUAACUAAUGACAGAUUUUAUGCUUUAUAAUGCAUGAAAACAAUUUAAAAAUAACUAGCAAUUAAUCACAGCAUAUCAGGAAAAAAUACACAGUGAGUUCUGUUUACUUUUCAUAGGUUCAUUAUAUUUAUGUUCUUUAAGAUGUAUAUAAGAACCAACCUGUUCCGUAUGUAUCACCUGUUCCAUUUUCAUGUUCCAUGCUUACUCGGGCAUCAUGCUAGUACGUAUCCUUUUAAGCACUCUCAAGGGAACAAAAGGGCCUUUUAUUUUUAUAAAGGUACAAAAAAAAUUCCCCGAAAUAUUUUGCACUGAAUGUACCAAAGUUGAAGGGACAUUACAAUAUGACUAACAGCAACUCCAUCACUUGACAAGUAAAUAGAAAAUAGCUUCUAAAUCAAACUUCCUUCACAGUGCCAUGUCUACCACUACAAGGACUGUGCAUCUAAGUAAUAAUUUUUUAAGACUCACUAUAUGUGAUAGUAUGAUAUGCAUUUAUUUAAAAUGCAUUAGACUUCUUCCAUCCAUCAAAUACUUUACAGGAUGGCAUUUAAUACAGAUAUUUCGUAUUUCCCCCACUGCUUUUUAUUUGUACAGCAUCAUUAAACACUAAGAUCAUUUAGAGAGCCAUCAGCAACACCCAAGAGAUCAGCUCUCUUUAGUAAUAAGAAUUCCAUUUUCCCUCAUCAGUGAAGACAUCACAAAUUGAAACUCUCAGCACUAUAUUUCUAAGCCUGCAUUUUCACUGAUGCAUAAUUUUCUUAUCAAUAUUAAGAAACAAUUUUUCUAUGGUCUCUCAGAAACUGCAUGAUAUCACUAAUGUUAUUUCUGCUUAGUUUUAUCAGACGAUGUUCUUCAUUUUUAUUGCUUUUGGGGUUAUUUCACAUCACUGUUUAUUUCUUGACUUCUGGCCGUAACUAAUCAGAGUGAGUUCUUCAAUAGAGUGAAGUUAAAUCGUGGAUAAUAAAAGCAUUGGAUUCACAUUUGGUUUGCCAGCCUGUGGUUUUACAGGCACUGCCCAGACACCUCUUUGAGAAUUAUAAGUAGCCAUGGAAUUCCUAUUAUGGGAUGUUGGCAAUCUUGUAUUUUAUAGAGUCAGAUGCAUGGUUUUCACAGAUGGUUUUUAAGAACUAAUUGCUCUCCUGUUGGUUAAGCUAUGUUUACCAUUGAGACCCUCAAGAGGAAUACCACUCAUGCUGUGAUCCUGAACUAAAGACAGGUACUAUAGCAUGGGGAAAUGUUCCCCCAAAAGGUUACAGAAAUCUGGAGAUAAGAAAGGAAGAUUUAUCUGUGUACUAUAAUUAGACCAGGAAAAAAGGGAAGAGAAAAAAAUUUUAAUUGGAAAUGUUAGCUUGUGUUUACUGAUCAUGAAUAUAAGUAUAUAUUUAAUUUGCAAACUAUUUUUACUUGUUUGUAUUUUUUUCAUUAUAAGGAAAAAUAGUAUAACAUACUUUUUCAAAAAAAAAACAACCCACAUCUUUGACGGUAUAUAAGAUGGUUCAGAGCUGGCAUUCUCUAAGCAGCUGGUAUAAAAAGUUACAUUUCUUUCAAAAAUAGACCAUGUUAGCUUUCCUUUUGGUUUGUGACACUUUACUAUCAUGUUCCACAUUAUUAGGUAAAAGAAGUUUGAAAUCAAA
This is an RNA transcript of Felis catus (domestic cat), 7551 nucleotides long. It is a transcript of the gene named HECT, C2 and WW domain containing E3 ubiquitin protein ligase 2, with no coding region annotated. The transcript has 32 exons. NCBI's taxonomy places the organism in Eukaryota, Metazoa, Chordata, Mammalia, Carnivora, Felidae. The record is from RefSeq and is a predicted model, not a curated record.